This 253-nucleotide ribosomal RNA is filed under the name uncultured bacterium. RNAcentral describes it as "partial 16S ribosomal RNA". It matches the Rfam family "Bacterial small subunit ribosomal RNA", at positions 524 to 776 of the family's 1533-position model. The record is from RNAcentral.
UACGUAGGGGGCAAGCGUUGUCCGGAUUUAUUGGGCGUAAAGAGCGUGUAGGCGGCCAGACAAGUCUGCUGUGAAAACUCGAGGCUCAACCUCGAGCUGUCGGUGGAAACUGUCUGGCUAGAGUCCGGAAGAGGAGAGUGGAAUUCCUGGUGUAGCGGUGAAAUGCGUAGAUAUCGGGAGGAACAUCAGUGGCGAAGGCGGCUGCCUGGCCCAAUACUGACACUCAGGUGCGACAGCGUGGGGAGCAAACAGG